Molecule: ribosomal RNA, 253 nt
Filed under: uncultured bacterium
Lineage: Bacteria
Description: partial 16S ribosomal RNA
Rfam family: Bacterial small subunit ribosomal RNA
Source: RNAcentral
UACAGAGGGGGCAAGCGUUAUUCGGAAUUAUUGGGCGUAAAGGGCGCGUAGGCGGCAUGGCAAGUGGAUGGUGAAAUCCCUCGGCUUAACCGAGGAACUGCCGUCCAAACUGCUUCGCUUGAGACCGGGAGAGGUGAGUGGAAUUCCCAGUGUAGCGGUGAAAUGCGUAGAUAUUCGCAAGAACACCAGUGGCGAAGGCGGCUCACUGGCCCGGAACUGACGCUGAGACGCGAAAGCGUGGGGAGCAAACAGG